RNAcentral lists this ribosomal RNA (1090 nucleotides) under Staphylococcus aureus. Its description in RNAcentral is "partial 23S ribosomal RNA". It matches the Rfam family "Bacterial large subunit ribosomal RNA", at positions 155 to 1246 of the family's 2925-position model. The record is from RNAcentral. Lineage: Bacteria; Bacillati; Bacillota; Bacilli; Caryophanales; Staphylococcaceae.
UAUGUGAAUACAUAGCAUAUCAGAAGGCACACCCGGAGAACUGAAACAUCUUAGUACCCGGAGGAAGAGAAAGAAAAUUCGAUUCCCUUAGUAGCGGCGAGCGAAACGGGAAGAGCCCAAACCAACAAGCUUGCUUGUUGGGGUUGUAGGACACUCUAUACGGAGUUACAAAGGACGACAUUAGACGAAUCAUCUGGAAAGAUGAAUCAAAGAAGGUAAUAAUCCUGUAGUCGAAAAUGUUGUCUCUCUUGAGUGGAUCCUGAGUACGACGGAGCACGUGAAAUUCCGUCGGAAUCUGGGAGGACCAUCUCCUAAGGCUAAAUACUCUCUAGUGACCGAUAGUGAACCAGUACCGUGAGGGAAAGGUGAAAAGCACCCCGGAAGGGGAGUGAAAUAGAACCUGAAACCGUGUGCUUACAAGUAGUCAGAGCCCGUUAAUGGGUGAUGGCGUGCCUUUUGUAGAAUGAACCGGCGAGUUACGAUUUGAUGCAAGGUUAAGCAGUAAAUGUGGAGCCGUAGCGAAAGCGAGUCUGAAUAGGGCGUUUAGUAUUUGGUCGUAGACCCGAAACCAGGUGAUCUACCCUUGGUCAGGUUGAAGUUCAGGUAACACUGAAUGGAGGACCGAACCGACUUACGUUGAAAAGUGAGCGGAUGAACUGAGGGUAGCGGAGAAAUUCCAAUCGAACCUGGAGAUAGCUGGUUCUCUCCGAAAUAGCUUUAGGGCUAGCCUCAAGUGAUGAUUAUUGGAGGUAGAGCACUGUUUGGACGAGGGGCCCCUCUCGGGUUACCGAAUUCAGACAAACUCCGAAUGCCAAUUAAUUUAACUUGGGAGUCAGAACAUGGGUGAUAAGGUCCGUGUUCGAAAGGGAAACAGCCCAGACCACCAGCUAAGGUCCCAAAAUAUAUGUUAAGUGGAAAAGGAUGUGGCGUUGCCCAGACAACUAGGAUGUUGGCUUAGAAGCAGCCAUCAUUUAAAGAGUGCGUAAUAGCUCACUAGUCGAGUGACACUGCGCCGAAAAUGUACCGGGGCUAAACAUAUUACCGAAGCUGUGGAUUGUCCUUUGGACAAUGGUAGGAGAGCGUUCUAAGG